This 253-nucleotide unclassified non-coding RNA is filed under the name uncultured Gemmatimonadota bacterium. Its description in RNAcentral is "uncultured Gemmatimonadetes bacterium contains 16S-23S intergenic spacer region". It matches the Rfam family "Bacterial small subunit ribosomal RNA", at positions 524 to 776 of the family's 1533-position model. The record is from RNAcentral. Lineage: Bacteria; Pseudomonadati; Gemmatimonadota.
GACGGAGGGCGCAAGCGUUGUUCGGAAUUACUGGGCGUAAAGCGCACGCAGGCGGUCGCCUAAGUCCCUUGUGAAAUUCCGGGGCUCAACCCCGGAGGUGCGUGGGAUACUGGGUGACUGGAGAACGGUAGAGGCUAGCGGAAUUCCUGGUGUAGCGGUGGAAUGCGUAGAUAUCAGGAGGAACACCGGUGGCGAAGGCGGCUAGCUGGGCCGUUUCUGACGCUCAUGUGCGAAAGCGUGGGGAGCAAACAGG